Molecule: long non-coding RNA, 204 nt
Filed under: Mytilus galloprovincialis (Mediterranean mussel)
Lineage: Eukaryota; Metazoa; Mollusca; Bivalvia; Mytilida; Mytilidae
Source: RNAcentral
CUGAAAACUAAAAGGAAAAUAGAAACAUGGAUAACGAAAAACAUCCAGGGGAUACACCAGAGAGUGAAGAGAACUUGCUUCUUGCAAGACACUUUCCGUGAAAACAAUUUGAUAUGAAAAGAACCUUUUAUUUCAUUUUUUUAUUUUUUUUUAUUUUUUACAUGAGGCAUUUGCCUCAUUUGCCUCAAUGUAGUUACGGCCCUG